CAAGGUUUCCGUAGGUGAACCUGCGGAAGGAUCAUUACUGAUUUGCUUAAUUGCACCACAUGUGUUUUUCUUUGAAACAAACUUGCUUUGGCGGUGGGCCCAGCCUGCCGCCAGAGGUCUAAACUUACAACCAAUUUUUUAUCAACUUGUCACACCAGAUUAUUACUAAUAGUCAAAACUUUCAACAACGGAUCUCUUGGUUCUCGCAUCGAUGAAGAACGCAGCGAAAUGCGAUACGUAAUAUGAAUUGCAGAUAUUCGUGAAUCAUCGAAUCUUUGAACGCACAUUGCGCCCUCUGGUAUUCCGGAGGGCAUGCCUGUUUGAGCGUCGUUUCUCCCUCAAACCGCUGGGUUUGGUGUUGAGCAAUACGACUUGGGUUUGCUUGAAAGACGGUAGUGGUAAGGCGGGAUCGCUUUGACAAUGGCUUAGGUCUAACCAAAAACAUUGCUUGCGGCGGUAACGUCUACCACGUAUAUCUUCAAACUUUGACCUCAAAUCA
RNAcentral lists this ribosomal RNA (499 nucleotides) under Candida albicans. Its description in RNAcentral is "eukaryotic LSU rRNA". The stretch from base 177 to 330 matches the Rfam family "5.8S ribosomal RNA". The record is from RNAcentral. Lineage: Eukaryota; Fungi; Ascomycota; Pichiomycetes; Serinales; Debaryomycetaceae.